This 433-nucleotide ribosomal RNA is filed under the name uncultured bacterium. Its description in RNAcentral is "partial 16S ribosomal RNA". It matches the Rfam family "Bacterial small subunit ribosomal RNA", at positions 29 to 507 of the family's 1533-position model. The record is from RNAcentral.
AACGAACGCUGGCGGCAUGCCUAACACAUGCAAGUCGAACGAGACCUUCGGGUCUAGUGGCGCACGGGUGCGUAACGCGUGGGAACCUGCCCUUAGGUUCGGAAUAACUCCCCGAAAGGGGUGCUAAUACCGGACAAUGUCUUCGGACCAACGAUUUAUCGCCUUUGGAUGGGCCCGCGUUGGAUUAGCUAGUUGGUAGGGUAAAAGCCUACCAAGGCGACGAUCCAUAGCUGGUCUGGGAGGAUGAUCAGCCACACUGGGACUGAGACACGGCCCAGACUCCUACGGGAGGCAGCAGUGGGGAAUAUUGGACAAUGGGCGAAAGCCUGAUCCAGCAAUGCCGCGUGAGUGAUGAAGGCCUUAGGGUUGUAAAGCUCUUUUACCCGGGAUGAUAAUGACAGUACCGGGAGAAUAAGCUCCGGCUAACUCCGUG